Molecule: long non-coding RNA, 1095 nt
Filed under: Mytilus galloprovincialis (Mediterranean mussel)
Lineage: Eukaryota; Metazoa; Mollusca; Bivalvia; Mytilida; Mytilidae
Source: RNAcentral
CCCCGUUUACACUGGCAACUAAAUUGAAUCGAUCUUUAUUUGAAUCGAUUUUGAAAGACCAGUUCGCGUUUAAAUCACAAGCAAGAUCGAUCGAGAUCGAUCUUAUUUAAUCCAGUGCGUUUACACUACAACAUAAAAAAACUAUCUGACAUUUGUUUCAUAUCUAAAUAUAGCCUUCAUCUGAAAAAAGAUCGAUUGCGAUCGAUUUAAGCGUUUACACAACGAUCGAUUAAAAAAAGAUCAAUCUUUUAAAACUACCUCUUGAGGUAGACUUUUAAAGUCCGAUUGAAGAUCGAUUUAACCCGUUUACACUUGACCAAAGAUCGAUCUUAAUAAGAUCGAUCUUUUUGUCAUUGUAAACGGGGUCUAUAGGCUUAUACCAUCUAGAUUGUCCAGUGCUUCGAACGACACCUGGAACAACAUUGAAAUGUCUUGUUUAAUAAUUAUAUUUUCCACUUUUAAGACACUUUUCUUUUAUUGAAAGGAAGUUAUCAUUUACCAAUUAUUUUAUUUGCAUAAUCAGACUCCUUCUCACAGUUGUAGCAUUUAGUCAUUUUCGGUUUCCAUUUCUUAAACAAUAAAAAUAAACAUAAACAUAAACAACACAAAAUACAAGACAAACAGAUAAGGAAAUAUCAGUACACUCUUUUUUUUAAAAGAACAAACAUACAUCGCAUAUUAUACAAUAUAUGUAUGAACGUCUCAAUUCGAAUUGUCUUUGUUUCGGACCAUAUGGGUAUUAAGACCAUAUGCCUAUGGUCACGACCAUAUGCGUAUAUUCAUAUAGUCAAACUGUACGCGUAUGGUCGGACCAUAUGAUAGAUAUAAAAAGAUGUUUUAUGAGUGAGUGCCAAUGUGACAACUCUCCUUCCAAAUAACAAUUUAUAAAAGUUAACCAUUAUAGGUCAAGGUACGACCUUUAACAUGUGGCCUUAAGCUUGGCAAACACCGAACAACAAGUGAUUAAGGGCCAAAAAAGGGUUAAAAUAACUAGUGCAAAACUAUUCAAACGGGAAAACUAACGAUUUAGGGAUUGGGUAGAAAAAAAGAAAAAUUUUAAACGAAAGAUAUAUUUAUGUUACUUUGCGCAAAAAG